CUGCUCCCACUGGAAGGCUAGUCCAGGUAUCUACUACCCUUUCUAUAUUACUGUUACUGCUGUCACUGGAAAGCUAUUCCAGGUAUCUACUACCCUUUCUAUAUCACUGUUACUGCUCCCACUGGAAGGCUAUUCCAGGUAUCUACUACCCUUUCUAUAUCACUGUUACUGCUCCCACUGGAAGGCUAUUCCCGGUAUUUACUACCCUUUCUGUAUCACUGUUACUGCUCCCACUGGAAGGCUAUUCCAGGAAUCUACUACCCUUUCUAUAUCACUGUUACUGCUCCUACUGGAAGGCUAUUCCAGGUAUCUACUACCCUUUCUAUAUCACUGUUACUGCUCCCACUGGAAGGCUAUUCC
Non-coding RNA from Pelobates cultripes (western spadefoot toad), 360 nucleotides. The record is from the annotation of a GenBank genome assembly. Lineage: Eukaryota; Metazoa; Chordata; Amphibia; Anura; Pelobatidae.